GGCCCGCUGGGUAUUUCAGCAACUCAUUGGAAUCUUCAAACAACAAAGAUAAACAAGUGUUCCAAUUAAGAAUUAAUUACUGCUCAGACACUCAACUGCUUCUGCUCACUCCGCUGGGAACAACUCAAACGAUGAGGAAACACACAUACACAGUGCAAGAACGAUAAGAUAGAGGGGUCACAUACAGAACACAUACAGAGGAAGAGUGUUGGGCCACAUCCGCAGGAAGUCCAGGACUCAAGCUUGGGCCUUCUUUCAUCUUCUGACCUUUUCUGCCGGGAAGUCUCUGGUGUCAGGCGUCUCUGUCUUUCUUUGCUGACAGGUUCUCACUGACUCUAACAAGCUCUAACUUUAAAAGAUGAAACAGCCAUUCAUUACUGUGAGAUGCUCCAUGGAGAGAGUGAGCUGAUGGCUGUGUGCUGGAAUCAUGUACCCCAGCAGGAGAGCCCGGAUCGGGGCUGUGAGAGUCACCUCUCCCCCCUGCUGGAGGCACAUGUCUCAUGGAGCUACAAACUGCGGGAGAAGAACACAUGACCUGACCUAUCAGCAGCUCAA
Long non-coding RNA from Carassius auratus (goldfish), 555 nucleotides. RefSeq lists it as uncharacterized. The record is from RefSeq and is a predicted model, not a curated record. The transcript has 3 exons. NCBI's taxonomy places the organism in Eukaryota, Metazoa, Chordata, Actinopteri, Cypriniformes, Cyprinidae.